AUACGUAGGGUGCAAGCGUUAAUCGGAAUUACUGGGCGUAAAGCGUGCGCAGGCGGUUUUGUAAGACAGUGGUGAAAUCCCCGGGCUCAACCUGGGAACUGCCAUUGUGACUGCAAGGCUGGAGUGCGGCAGAGGGGGAUGGAAUUCCGCGGGUAGCAGUGAAAUGCGUAGAUAUGCGGAGGAACACCGAUGGCGAAGGCAAUCCCCUGGGCCUGCACUGACGCUCAUGCACGAAAGCGUGGGGAACAAACAGGAUUAGAUACCCUGGUAGUCCACGCCCUAAACGAUGUCAACUGGUUGUUGGGGAUUUAUUUUCUCAGUAACGAAGCUAACGCGUGAAGUUGACCGCCUGGGGAGUACGGCCGCAAGGUUAAAACUCAAAUGAAUUGACGGGG
This 395-nucleotide ribosomal RNA is filed under the name uncultured bacterium. RNAcentral's name for it is "partial 16S ribosomal RNA". It matches the Rfam family "Bacterial small subunit ribosomal RNA", at positions 523 to 918 of the family's 1533-position model. The record is from RNAcentral.